Carassius auratus (goldfish) is the source of this 1443-nucleotide long non-coding RNA. RefSeq lists it as uncharacterized. The record is from RefSeq and is a predicted model, not a curated record. The transcript has 5 exons. Lineage: Eukaryota; Metazoa; Chordata; Actinopteri; Cypriniformes; Cyprinidae.
GGAAAUUUUUACAGCGUAGGAGAUGAAAGUGAAAGAAGGUUGAGCUUUUAUUAGAUGAAAGGGAAAGUGUUGGACAGUGACUCUUGAUUUGAACGACCAAGCCGCAGCACUUAAAGCCUCUGAAGAAACACUUACGGACAUACAAUGAAUCGUGCUGUAUAUGACAUCAAGACAUCUCUUAAAAGGAAAGGCUUCAAGGAGGUCUCUUCCCUUCAGCAAUGUCAUUUCUUACUGUUUUUCUGCCCCAUUAUUUCUCGUGCUGGAACUGAUAUUGACGCUGCAGUGAAUCACAUCAAUCAAGUGAAAGCUUCCAGUUUUCACUUAUCAUUGCCAGUCAUCAUGGUGGUGCUCCAUCACACUUUUGACCCAGAGAAACUUAUACUCGACAGCAACAAUGUUAUAGCGAGCGAGCACAUAUCUGCAGUGGACUGUCUGUUUGAUGACAAUGGAUUACUGAAUGGAUGUCAGAAGAAUACGAAUGCAAUCAGUAAAAUUGCAAAUGACUCAAAAUUAAAGAACUGGACUUUAUAUCAUUGCCUGAGAGACCAGUAUGCAGAAAACGAGCCCUUAAUCCAUGAGAGACCAGUGCGGGUUCUGAGCACAACCAUUAAUUUAUUAGGGCAUGAUGUACCCAUAAUUUGUAUUGCUAUUGUUGUUGUUUUGGCUGUGAUUGUUCUGAUUGUCCUGCUACUAAGUUUUCUUUAGAUUUAAAACAAAGAAUGAAAUGAAAAUUUUUGUGAUUUUCAGAAGUAAUUGUUCAGUGGUAAUUGUAGUAAUAAUGCACUGCAUGAAGAUUAAUUAAACGCUGAAUAUAAAUAAUUAACAAGUUCACAAAACACUUAAAGUAAAUUUAAUGUAUAGGCUAUUUCCCCUAUAUAAUUAUGUUUUACUUACCGUAUUUUCUGCACUAUAAGGUGCACGUAAAAGCCUUUAAUUUUCUCAAAAAACGCUUUAUAAUCCGGAGCGCUUUAUAUAUGGAUCAAGGCACUCUGUCAAAAUGUUGACAUUCCCUUUAGCACAGUUACAUCUAGUGGAUGCAUAACGCAAAUUCAGUCAAAAGUUUGACUGCAGUAUAUUUCAUUCCAUGCGCUUUAUAAUCCGGUGCGCCCUAUAUAUGUAAACAGUUCUAAAAUAGGCCAUUCAAUGAAGGUGCGCCUUAUAAUCCGGUGCACCUUAUAGUGCGGAAAAUACGGUAAGUAAAACAUAAUUAUAUAGGGGAGAUAGCCUAUACAUUAAAUGUACUUUAAGUGUUUUGUGAUUAAAUAGUGUAUUGUGAUUAAAUAGUGUAUUGUGAUUAAAUAGCCUAGUUUAUUGUGAUUAAAUAGUGUAUCACACACACUCAAAUAUUUGCAUGUCAGUCUAACAAAAAUGUUGUUGUUUGCAAAACAUAAAUAAACAGCUGUUUGACCCACUUCUGACAAUUUUUCAGUGUUUGUAUACCAC